RNAcentral lists this ribosomal RNA (482 nucleotides) under uncultured bacterium. RNAcentral describes it as "partial 16S ribosomal RNA". It matches the Rfam family "Bacterial small subunit ribosomal RNA", at positions 30 to 507 of the family's 1533-position model. The record is from RNAcentral.
AUUGAACGCUGGCGGCAUGCUUUACGCAUGCAAGUCGAACGGUAACAGGCCGCAAGGUGCUGACGAGUGGCGAACGGGUGAGUAAUGCAUCGGAACGUGCCCAGUCGUGGGGGAUAACUACUCGAAAGAGUAGCUAAUACCGCAUACGAUCUAUGGAUGAAAGCGGGGGACCGUAAGGCCUCGCGCGAUUGGAGCGGCCGAUGUCAGAUUAGGUAGUUGGUGGGGUAAAGGCUCACCAAGCCAACGAUCUGUAGCUGGUCUGAGAGGACGACCAGCCACACUGGGACUGAGACACGGCCCAGACUCCUACGGGAGGCAGCAGUGGGGAAUUUUGGACAAAGGGCGCAAGCCUGAUCCAGCAAUGCCGCGUGCAGGAAGAAGGCCUUCGGGUUGUAAACUGCUUUUGUACGGAACGAAACGGCUCUGGUUAAUACCCGGGGCUAAUGACGGUACCGUAAGAAUAAGCACCGGCUAACUACGUG